CGGACGGGUGAGUAAUGUCUGGGAAACUGCCCGAUGGAGGGGGAUAACUACUGGAAACGGUAGCUAAUACCGCAUAACGUCGCAAGACCAAAGAGGGGACCUUCGGGCCUCUUGCCAUCGGAUGUGCCCAUAUGGGAUUAGCUAGUAGGUGAGGUAACGGCUUACCUAGGCGACGAUCCCUAGCUGGUCUGAGAGGAUGAUCAGCCACACUGGGACUGAGACACGGCCCAG
This 231-nucleotide ribosomal RNA is filed under the name uncultured bacterium. RNAcentral's name for it is "partial 16S ribosomal RNA". It matches the Rfam family "Bacterial small subunit ribosomal RNA", at positions 99 to 334 of the family's 1533-position model. The record is from RNAcentral.